AUACUUACCUAGCAAGGCAUAUAUCAUGAUCAGGAAGGUUGAUUUUCCCAGGUGGCAGAUGACUCAUUGCUCUUUGGAUGUGCUGACCCCUGAGAUUUUCCCAAGUGUGAGAAACUCAACUGAAUGGUUUGUGGUUGGGGACUAUGUUGACAGUUUCCCCUG
RNAcentral lists this small nuclear RNA (162 nucleotides) under Nannospalax galili (Upper Galilee mountains blind mole rat). RNAcentral describes it as "U1 spliceosomal RNA (ENSNGAG00000005651.1)". It matches the Rfam family "U1 spliceosomal RNA". From Rfam's summary of the family: U1 is a small nuclear RNA (snRNA) component of the spliceosome (involved in pre-mRNA splicing). The record is from Rfam by way of RNAcentral. Lineage: Eukaryota; Metazoa; Chordata; Mammalia; Rodentia; Spalacidae.